GAAAAAAUAUACCCUCUGAAAAGGAAAAUAUCGUCCCACGUGGGGGACCCGUUUAAUUACAAGUUACGUUGUUUAAAUAUGUGUUUGUUGAGUUAAUUUUUGUUUCUAAACAAUGGUGCAGGCAAUCGAUGAAAUGGAGCAGAGGGAUCUGCCUCAGGCAUUCCGAUUGCUAGGAGAGAUGAAUGCCAACGUUGUCCAGGUUAAUCAACUUGUUGACAAUAUGUUAACAAAAGUGAAAAAUGGAGAAGUGUCAACGGACAAGGGUCUAAGCUUUUUGGAAAUGAAGUAUCACAUGCUUCUUUCUUAUCUUAUUAAUUUGACUUAUGUAGUAUUGAGGAAAUGCUCUGGAGAGCGCAUCGAAGGAGAUCCUUCGAUAGAUCGACUCGUCGAGAUAAGAACUGUUCUCGAAAAAAUCAGGCCCAUAGAUCAAAAGCUCAAGUAUCAAAUAGACAAACUAGUAAAGACCGCCGUCACUGGAACUACCGGCAAUAACGAUCCUAGCAAUUUCAAAGCCAAUCCAGACGCGCUUAUGGGUAAAUUGGAUGGUAGCGAGGAUGAGUCUAACAGCGAAGAAGAUGACGAUGAUGCAGCCAACAAAUCAAAACAGUCUAGGAAAUCUGGGGUUUACGUACCACCAAAAUUGGCAGCCGUUCACUAUGACGGGGACGAGACGAUGGCUGAAAAAAUGCGCAAGGCGGGCGAGAGAGCACGCAGGCGUGCAGUAUCCGGUGCGGUAUUGCGCGAACUGAGGGAGGAAUAUUUAGACGCACCAAUCGAGGAUACGCAGGGUAUAGGAGAUAAACAAGCGAGUUUGGGACGUGAGAACAAGCGAAAGAUCGAAUAUGAAGAGAACUACAUGACGCGUUUGCCAGUUACGAAACAGGAGAAACAUCGAAGUCGUCAAAUUACAACGCUGGGCACACUUGGCGACGAAAUAACAACGUUCUCCGGACCUGCCGCAGUCUCUGGUAAAAAGAGAAAAACUUCCAAGGGAAAAGCCAAAAAGAGUUUCAAGAAGAAACGACACCACUAAGCAAUAAGUGGUGUUUUUAUUUGUCCCUCGGACUCGACGAGCUUGAGGAUCUCCACACCAGUUAAUUCAUAAGUAUUAAAGGUACACACAGCUGUCGAGGAUAAUGCGAAAACAGGAAGAGAAGAAUAUGAAAAUAAUAAUGAAAUGAAACACUCGCAUACACACACACACACACCAUCGCGGUAAUUUAUUAUUGUAUAAGGCAUCAUAAUGGUCGUCGUAAUUGAUAACUAUAGUUACUAAUGGUUUUAAUCUUCAACCGUUGUCUGAAACAAAUUUUUAACUACGGAUCCGUAUUAGUUGGCAAACAAUCAAGAAACUUGAAGCAAACGGGUGGGGCGGGGGAGGGGGGGGGGGGCUAGUAUGGGUUGAAGAUAAAAGAAAAAGGGUCGAGAUUGCAAAUAAAAAGAAAUUGGAAAUUAUGAUAACAAAUAUGAGAAACGUGUAGCGAAUAUUCGCGAGCUUGCCUUUGUCUGCGAAAAAAGAGUAACGUCCGAAUUGGGAGCACAAAUUAAACGAAUAAAGAAGAAGAAGAAGAAGAAGAAGACGAAAAAAUAAAUAAAAAAAAAAAAAAACAAAUAGAAAUUAAACUCCCGCGCCAAGAGAUCUUAAAGCAUAAGAAUAAUUUAACAAACAAAAGUGGAUUCGUCUGCUUUAUUUUGAGAUAAAAAAAACUCCAGUUGUAGAAUGAGAAAAGAGAAAGAAAGGAAGAAAGAGACAAAACAAAAAACGAUAAAACUGAUUACAUUUUAGCGGGAGAGACGGAUGAUAUUGGAUUAAUUGUUACGGGGAGCGUAAAAAUCACAAGACAUUCAAAAACGAAAAACAUACAGAUCAAAAAAAGUAUGAAACAAAGAAAACAAAUAAAGACAAAAAUACAGGAAGCUCGUACUCGACACAGCAAACAACAAAAAAGUAAUCUAAAAAAUACAUACAUAAAUAAAAAUUUAGCGUUUCGAAGUUACACGAAGUUAAAAUACUUCUCGAAUGGUCAGAAAUUCAUUUUUGGCAACCGCAUGUCUUAGGAUUUUUCUCGCUGUUUGUAGAAUAGGAAGACAAAAGAAAAAAAAAUCGGAAAAAUAAGUAAAAAAAAGAAAAAGAAAAAAAAAACAAGCAAAAAAAAAAAUAAGCACAAAAAUACUUGUAGGUAAUAGUUUUACGAAUUUAAACUCGUAUUCUUAUUAUGUUCGUGGAUUUUUUUCGUCGAUUCCUGGUGAAAUGUUGAGGCUAUUGCAUUUCGGUGUCGUUCAUUUAUGAAUAUAUCUUGCGUUAAGUUUUUAUUUAAAGCGCGCGAUGGCGUUCGCGAAUGCGCGCGCGCGCGUCUUUAUAAUCGUUGUUUUAACAUUAUACGAGGGAAAAAGAAGCUCCAUUGUUUAUAUUGAUGGUAAUAUAAGGAUAAAGUGGACGUGUCAAAAUUCAAAAUUGAGGUAUAAAGAGAAGCAAAACGAAAAUCCAAUUACUCAAGUACUGUUUUACGUUCAAACGCGUUUUUGGUUUCCUCGAGAACGUGACGCGCGCACUGACAUCAAGAAACGAAUGAUAUUUAUCGCCGUGAAUAUGAGACAGAGAGCCUCGAGAAUCGAUUCUGUCCGGAGUCAAGCGAGACAGCAAUUAUACCGUGAAACAUAAUUUUUUGGAAUCCUCGUAGUGUGCAGAACAGGUUGAAAAAAAAGAAACAAUAUGAAAAUAGAAAAUGAAAGUCAAAACUACCCCUCGAAAACUCCACUGCAAAACAUUAAAACGGUAAGGGUGGGGCACCGUCAAAGAGAAAAAAAAAAAACAAAACGAGCAGCAACAUUAAAGGCGAAAACGUUUCAGAAGAGAUUCGCGAAAUAACAAACGAUCCAAGCAAAUACCAUGUGUUUCUUGACCGCGCCUGAGGGCUCAAAACAUCCAUAUAGAAUUUAUAUUUUUUACAGAAGUGUUCACCGAUUGAGCCCGAUGUUUGUGCGGUCGCGAUGUCACGCGCGUCUCGUUCUUUCCGAUCUGUGAAAGACGAUUAAAAUGUGAUAAAAAUAAUAAAAAAAAAAAAAAAAAAAAAAAAAAAAAUAAUAAUUCUUGAAAGAAUAGCGGGGGGAAAAACAAUUAAAAUGAAGAAGAAGAAGAAGAAGGAAAAAAACAAAUACGAACGAAUGAGACUACAGAAAAGAAGAAAAAAAAAUAGCACAAUUGCUGGGCAUUAUUUACAAGUGCUAGCACACGAGCCUAAAACUGUCAGCAGCGGAUAGUCUCUCGGCCGUUUUGGCAAACGAAGUUGCGUACGUAGGCGUGUGAGCUCCAAUAUGUACCGGGUGAUAAAGCAGGAAGAUUAAGUAAUGACUUUCUCAUUUCGAAGUAUUACGAACUCCUCGUUUAUCUUUCGGUAUAACGAAAAACAAGCAAAAAAAAAAAACCGAGAAAAAACAAAACGAAGAUGAGCUACGAACGCGUACUGUUUAAACUUCUUGCCUAGACGAUAAUAAUUUUUUGACGCCCUCUACAAUGAGACUAAUGCAAAACUACGAGUCCAAAUUCCUUUUUCCAAAUGGACAGGGUUUUUUCGUAUUAGCGCCCAAGAGUGUGCGCGACAUAAACAAUGAGAUAUUUUACAACAGGAUUGUAUUGUUCCACAAAAAAAGAAGAUGAAAAAUAAGAAGAAGACGAAGAAGAAUAAUAAACAAAUAUUGCGUCCGUUUAGGCGCGUAAAAACUUUUUAUUAAAAAUACUGUGUACAUUAGCUAUGUCUGUAUUGGUUCGAUGAAGGAAUGAAUUGCAUUUAACAAGUAUAUUUUCGAUGCAUUGGACUUGUAGAAAAAGAAAAGCAGAAAGAACGAGAGAGAGAGAGAGAAAAAGUAUGAAAAUGAAAAAGAAGUAAGGUCGAAGCUGGACAAAAAUGGGCGUAAAAAGUAAUAUUCAUUGGAACACACACAUAUCUGCAACACAGCAUAUAUAGCAGCAACAAAAUAAUAGGGUUAUACAUUGAAUUCACUACCUCAAGACAAUAGACUAUUGGUAAAACAGUAAUAAGGCCUGACGACAAAAAGACUUGUUUACAUCGUUUGAUUAUUGCCAAAUAAUAAGUAAAAAAAUGAAUGAAUUAUCAAAGUUAUAAAUAUAUAUUGCAUAUAUGUAAACAGAUAUAUCGUUUACAGCUCCGAAGAUACAAAACGAACAAACAAAUCUCAUACUACUAGUUGUUUACUACUGUAUUGUGCCAAAAAAGCACGAUCGCGACUCGGGCCUUUUGCCACUUGGGUAAAAAGCGUCACUGUUCCUUCGUGAUUAUUCCUAGCCGCUAUUAUUAUGAGACUUAAUGAAAAAAAUGAUGAAAUCGUUGUACGAAUCAUACUAAUAUGCGUUAUUGUAAACGAUGUAAACAUAGUCGUACACGCAAGAAUGAGCUGAGAAAGAGAAAACGGGGUGAUCGGGAAAUAUAAUAAAGAAAAAAAACGAAACGAGUAAAAGUGAGGUUACAAAACUUGUCCUACAAAUCCAAAUGUGCUGCCGGGCUAACGCGAUGAUGUAUCUUUGCAGCAACAACAAAAACUGACAAAAUAGGAAUAAUUUAUCAACUACAUUAAUGGAGUUAUAUAUAUAUACAUAUGUAAAUAAUACAUAUAUAUGUAUAUACUCCCGCUGAGGAAUAUAAAACAAUUUUAUAAGUUUGGUUAUUCGAUGAUGUUUUUUUAUCAUUUUUAUUUUAAUAUGGCAGGUGAGCGUACGAAAGAGAGGGGGAGAGAGUCUACCUGUAAUUUACAAAUGGUUAUUACGAAUGAAUUUCUAUUAUUAUUAUUAUUAUUGUCAUUAUUAUUGAUAUUAUGUAGAAGGCUUCUUACUGACUGAAUAAAAUGUUUUCAAUGUCGACUAA
Molecule: unclassified non-coding RNA, 4880 nt
Filed under: Venturia canescens
Lineage: Eukaryota; Metazoa; Arthropoda; Insecta; Hymenoptera; Ichneumonidae
Description: neuroguidin, transcript variant X1
Source: RNAcentral